This 253-nucleotide ribosomal RNA is filed under the name uncultured bacterium. RNAcentral's name for it is "partial 16S ribosomal RNA". It matches the Rfam family "Bacterial small subunit ribosomal RNA", at positions 524 to 776 of the family's 1533-position model. The record is from RNAcentral.
UACGUAGGGUGCGAGCGUUGUCCGGAUUUAUUGGGCGUAAAGGGCUCGUAGGCGGCGUGUCGCGUCGGGAGUGAAAGACCGGGGCUUAACCCCGGUUCUGCUUCCGGUACGGGCAUGCUGGAGUGUGGCAGGGGAGACUGGAAUUCCUGGUGUAGCGGUGGAAUGCGCAGAUAUCAGGAGGAACACCGGUGGCGAAGGCGGGUCUCUGGACAUUUCCUGACGCUGAGGCACGAAAGCCAGGGGAGCAAACGGG